RNAcentral lists this ribosomal RNA (232 nucleotides) under Fidelibacterota bacterium. RNAcentral describes it as "partial 23S ribosomal RNA". It matches the Rfam family "Bacterial large subunit ribosomal RNA", at positions 2698 to 2925 of the family's 2925-position model. The record is from RNAcentral. Lineage: Bacteria; Pseudomonadati; Fidelibacterota.
UGGACGAACCUCUGGUGCACCAGUUGUUUCAUCAGAAGCAUCGCUGGGUAGCUAUGUUCGGAUGGGAUAAGCGCUGAAAGCAUAUAAGCGCGAAACCCUUCCCAAGAUAAGGUUUCCCUUCCCUUAUGGGAGUGAAGAUCCCCUGUAGACUACAGGGUUGAUAGGUCAUAGGUGUAAGACCAGUAAUGGUUUCAGCCGAGUGAUACUAAUGAAUCGUCAGGCUUUUCCAAAU